CCUCCUCUCGCCAGCGAGCACGUUACUUCCCCGCUCUCUUAUAUAUCUGGACAAAGGGAACAAGCAACGGGGAUGGGGUGGCGGGGAAGCCCGGGAAGGCGUUGGUCCUAAGAGAAGACAAUCAUAAAGUAAAUGCCAAUCAUCAGGUUUAUUUUUAAAUUGCCAAUAAGAGGACUUAGAAAUGAAAGAACAUAAUAGAGGACUUAGAAAUGAAAGAACAUAAUAAUCAAGCACAAAGUAA
Molecule: long non-coding RNA, 241 nt
Organism: Portunus trituberculatus (swimming crab)
Lineage: Eukaryota; Metazoa; Arthropoda; Malacostraca; Decapoda; Portunidae
Exons: 2
Source: RefSeq, a predicted model, not a curated record